AACGAACGCUGGCGGCAGGCUUAACACAUGCAAGUCGAGCGCCCCGCAAGGGGAGCGGCAGACGGGUGAGUAACGCGUGGGAACGUACCUUUUGGUUCGGAACAACUCCGGGAAACUGGAGCUAAUACCGGAUAAGCCCUAACGGGGAAAGAUUUAUCGCCGAAAGAUCGGCCCGCGUCUGAUUAGCUAGUUGGUGAGGUAACGGCUCACCAAGGCGACGAUCAGUAGCUGGUCUGAGAGGAUGAUCAGCCACACUGGGACUGAGACACGGCCCAGACUCCUACGGGAGGCAGCAGUGGGGAAUAUUGGACAAUGGGCGCAAGCCUGAUCCAGCCAUGCCGCGUGAGUGAUGAAGGCCUUAGGGUUGUAAAGCUCUUUUGUCCGGGAAGAUAAUGACUGUACCGGUAGAAUAAGCCCCGGCUAACUUCGUG
Molecule: ribosomal RNA, 431 nt
Filed under: uncultured bacterium
Lineage: Bacteria
Description: partial 16S ribosomal RNA
Rfam family: Bacterial small subunit ribosomal RNA
Source: RNAcentral